AAUGUGGAAAAAUCAUACAGAAAUUAACAACAGAAAUUCAUUUGUAUUCAAAUAAUUUAAGUUGAAAAUUAUGUAAUUUUCUUUGACUAAGAGACCACUUGGGUUUCCAGUACAGCCCCCAUCCACUAAAUUUUAGAAGUGUGCUAAUGAUUUGAAAAAUAUAAUUUUGUGUGUCUGAGGCAGGUACUUUAAUGUUUCCUCAGUAAGCAAGGACAUAGCAGUAAAGUAGUAGAGAGGAUGCUCACUGAAGACGAAUAGAAGUUGGGUGUCAGGAAAGGAAAAGGAGUACCUUUUUCCAGAAUUCCUCAGUUCAGUGGUGAUUCAGUGAAAGUGCCUGGCUACCAAAGGCUUGUAAAACAAAAGGUAGGUCUAGUAAUGUGACUAGCCACUACCCAGGACCAGAAAUCGCUGCUGAGGAAAAUUAAAAGCCAUUACUCUCAAGCAGAACAAUUUCAGUUCAAAAUAUCAGAAGAUAGAAUGCAUAUACAGGUAGUUACAUUGUAGCACAUGUCAGACACUGCCCCAAAGGGUGGAAGAAUCAACAAUGAUCAAUGGCAUGAGAACAGAGAAGGAAAUGGAAACCACUGUGUCAAACACACAUGAUGUGUACCCACAGGAAAUAUGUCUGUAAUUAAAAAGUGUCAGAAUGACCUCUUCAUUGCUUGAAGAUUCUGGAUUAGUCUCCGAUUCUGAUCCAUGGAGGGGACUG
This is a long non-coding RNA of Schistocerca nitens (vagrant locust), 709 nucleotides long. RefSeq lists it as uncharacterized. The transcript is spliced from 4 exons. The record is from RefSeq and is a predicted model, not a curated record. NCBI's taxonomy places the organism in Eukaryota, Metazoa, Arthropoda, Insecta, Orthoptera, Acrididae.